This 631-nucleotide ribosomal RNA is filed under the name uncultured Cortinarius. RNAcentral's name for it is "eukaryotic LSU rRNA". The stretch from base 232 to 385 matches the Rfam family "5.8S ribosomal RNA". The record is from RNAcentral. Lineage: Eukaryota; Fungi; Basidiomycota; Agaricomycetes; Agaricales; Cortinariaceae.
CUUGGUCAUUUAGAGGAAGUAAAAGUCGUAACAAGGUUUCCGUAGAUGAACCUGCGGAAGGAUCAUUAUUGAAAUAAACCUGAUGGGUUGUUGCUGGUUCUCUAGGGAGCAUGUGCACACCUUGUCAUCUUUAUAUCUCCACCUGUGCACUUUUUGUAGACCUUUCAGGUCUAUGUUGCUUCAUUUACCCCAAUGUAUGUUAAUAGAAUGUUGUGCCUAUAUAAUAUAUACAACUUUCAGCAACGGAUCUCUUGGCUCUCGCAUCGAUGAAGAACGCAGCGAAAUGCGAUAAGUAAUGUGAAUUGCAGAAUUCAGUGAAUCAUCGAAUCUUUGAACGCACCUUGCGCUCCUUGGUAUUCCGAGGAGCAUGCCUGUUUGAGUGUCAUUAAUAUAUCAACCUUCUCUUUUUGAGUGGUUUGGAUGUGGGAGUUUGCUGGCCUCUUAAAAAGGUCUUGGCUCUCCUGAAAUACAUUAGCAGAACAACCCUGUUCAUUGGUGUGAUAACUAUCUACGCUAUUGAAUGUGAAGGGCAGUUUGGCUUUCUAACAGUCCUUGGACAAGCUCAUCAUUAAUGUGACCUCAAAUCAGGUAGGACUACCCGCUGAACUUAAGCAUAUCAAUAAGCGGAGGA